AUUGAACGCUGGCGGCAUGCUUUACACAUGCAAGUCGAACGGUAGAGGGGGCAACCCCCUGAGAGUGGCGAACGGGUGAGUAAUGCAUCGGAACGUGCCCAGUCGUGGGGGAUAACGCAGCGAAAGCUGUGCUAAUACCGCAUACGAUCUAUGGAUGAAAGCGGGGGACCGUAAGGCCUCGCGCGAUUGGAGCGGCCGAUGUCAGAUUAGGUAGUUGGUGGGGUAAAGGCUCACCAAGCCAACGAUCUGUAGCUGGUCUGAGAGGACGACCAGCCACACUGGGACUGAGACACGGCCCAGACUCCUACGGGAGGCAGCAGUGGGGAAUUUUGGACAAUGGGCGCAAGCCUGAUCCAGCAAUGCCGCGUGCAGGAAGAAGGCCUUCGGGUUGUAAACUGCUUUUGUACGGAACGAAACGGCGAGCUCUAAUACAGUUUGCUAAUGACGGUACCGUAAGAAUAAGCACCGGCUAACUACGUGCCAGCCGCCGCAGUAA
This 496-nucleotide ribosomal RNA is filed under the name uncultured bacterium. RNAcentral describes it as "partial 16S ribosomal RNA". It matches the Rfam family "Bacterial small subunit ribosomal RNA", at positions 30 to 523 of the family's 1533-position model. The record is from RNAcentral.